GACGAACGCUGGCGGCGUGCUUAACACAUGCAAGUCGAACGGAAAGGCCCUGCUUUUGUGGGGUGCUCGAGUGGCGAACGGGUGAGUAACACGUGAGUAACCUGCCCUUGACUUUGGGAUAACUUCAGGAAACUGGGGCUAAUACCGGAUAGGAGCUCCUGCUGCAUGGUGGGGGUUGGAAAGUUUCGGCGGUUGGGGAUGGACUCGCGGCUUAUCAGCUUGUUGGUGGGGUAGUGGCUUACCAAGGCUUUGACGGGUCGCCGGCAUGAGAGGGUGACCGGCCACAAUGGGACUGAGAUACGGCCCAGACUCCUACGGGAGGCAGCAGUGGGGAAUAUUGCACAGUGGGCGGAAGCCUGAUGCAGCAACGCCGCGUGCGGGAUGACGGCCUUCGGGUUGUAAACCGCUUUCGCCUGUGACGAAGCGUGAGUGACGGUAAUGGGUAAAGAAGCACCGGCUAACUACGUG
RNAcentral lists this ribosomal RNA (468 nucleotides) under uncultured bacterium. Its description in RNAcentral is "partial 16S ribosomal RNA". It matches the Rfam family "Bacterial small subunit ribosomal RNA", at positions 28 to 507 of the family's 1533-position model. The record is from RNAcentral.